Molecule: non-coding RNA, 331 nt
Organism: Cinara cedri
Lineage: Eukaryota; Metazoa; Arthropoda; Insecta; Hemiptera; Aphididae
Source: the annotation of a GenBank genome assembly
CGAAAUACAUACAACCCAACAGAUUCGUUGGUACACGGUUAGAACCUAAAAGAAACCGUAUAUGUAAUGCAUUGUGGUAUAUACAUUUUAUUACGGCUUUUUGAGUAGCUGUGUGGACCGCGUUUUCAGAUACGGAGAAAAUAAAUCUCGAGGAUAAACGAAUACGGUCAACGGCAAAUUGAGAAUCUUGACCCCCGGGUCCCCCUCUAUCCAGGAUGCCCUACUGUUUAACGCUCACGAAAUUCGGCAGACACUUAAAAGCGUCGCGGGACACUGCGGCGCUAACGAAACGCGGUAUAAUUUUUAAAUUAAUAGCUUUGUCGUUUCUCUC